CAUCACGACGGAAUCCUCCAUAACCCUAAUAUCCCUGUAAAGACUGCACACCAAUUCAUCACACCUCCGUCCACUGCCAUACACCUCCGUCCACCGCCAUGAGUUUUAUCAAUUGUGUACUUCGAUCACGAUUCAGUUCUGGUGAUCUACGCAGCCACCAUCACACUUUGCCGUAAACCUUUGUUCGAUGGAGCUUUCGGUCGUACCGUAACUACCAUUGCGCCAUCAGUUUAGGUGUGCUCUGUGCUGAUAAACAUAAUGCCACAGGAAAUUAGUUUGAAUUCUGUGAUAUUCAACACACCUAGCAAGAAUUUCAACGACUUAAAGCUCUAAAUUCAUUCACUAAGAAUGACACUGAAGAGUUCAUUGAUGAUCGUGAAUUAGCUCAACAGAAAGCUGAAGCAGCAGGAGUUUGGAUUGUUGAAGAAGAACCCUUGAUAUAACAUCCAGUGGGCGGUGGUCAAGCCUAUCCGUGAGCCACAUGUAGCUGUCCAGAAAGUUGUUUAGGGUAAUCCUAAUCCUAGAAAUAUUUGUUGAAGCCAAAUCUUACACUUAUCUAUACACUGAUGAAGAAAAUGAUACGAUUGUGCUAAUGGAGUAA
Helianthus annuus (common sunflower) is the source of this 601-nucleotide long non-coding RNA. RefSeq lists it as uncharacterized. The transcript is spliced from 5 exons. The record is from RefSeq and is a predicted model, not a curated record. NCBI's taxonomy places the organism in Eukaryota, Viridiplantae, Streptophyta, Magnoliopsida, Asterales, Asteraceae.